UACGUAGGGGGCAAGCGUUGUCCGGAUUUAUUGGGCGUAAAGAGCGUGUAGGCGGCCUGAAAGGUCAGCUGUGAAAACUCGAGGCUCAACCUCGAGACGUCGGUUGAAACCAUCUGGCUAGAGUCCGGAAGAGGAGUGUGGAAUUCCCGGUGUAGCGGUGAAAUGCGCAGAUAUCGGGAAGAACACCCGUGGCGAAGGCGGCACUCUGGGACGGUACUGACGCUGAGACACGAAAGCGUGGGUAGCAAACAGG
This 253-nucleotide ribosomal RNA is filed under the name uncultured bacterium. RNAcentral describes it as "partial 16S ribosomal RNA". It matches the Rfam family "Bacterial small subunit ribosomal RNA", at positions 524 to 776 of the family's 1533-position model. The record is from RNAcentral.